Non-coding RNA from Dipodomys ordii (Ord's kangaroo rat), 70 nucleotides. NCBI's taxonomy places the organism in Eukaryota, Metazoa, Chordata, Mammalia, Rodentia, Heteromyidae. The record is from Rfam.
GGGAAGGUAGCUUAAUGGUAGAGUGCUUGCCUUGCAUGCAUGAGGCCCUGGGUUCGAUUCCUCAGCACCA